UCCCAGAUCCUCUCCAUCCCCCAUGUCCUGAGUUCGCUUCUCGUGGCCAGAUGAUGGAAGCUGAUUGGGA
RNAcentral lists this microRNA precursor (70 nucleotides) under Pteropus vampyrus (large flying fox). Its description in RNAcentral is "miRNA (ENSPVAG00000029088.1)". Lineage: Eukaryota; Metazoa; Chordata; Mammalia; Chiroptera; Pteropodidae. The record is from RNAcentral.